RNAcentral lists this ribosomal RNA (600 nucleotides) under uncultured archaeon. RNAcentral's name for it is "bacterial SSU rRNA". It matches the Rfam family "Archaeal small subunit ribosomal RNA", at positions 76 to 673 of the family's 1478-position model. The record is from RNAcentral.
CACCGGCGGACGGCUCAGUAACACGUCGGUAACCUACCCUCGGGAGGGGGAUAACCCCGGGAAACUGGGGCUAAUUCCCCAUAGGCCUGAGGUACUGGAAGGUCCUCAGGCCGAAAGGGACUUAUGUCCGCCCGAGGAUGGGCCGGCGGCCGAUUAGGUAGUUGGUGGGGUAAUGGCCCACCAAGCCGAAGAUCGGUACGGGCUGUGAGAGCAGGAGCCCGGAGAUGGACACUGAGACACGGGUCCAGGCCCUACGGGGCGCAGCAGGCGCGAAACCUCCGCAAUGCGGGAAACCGCGACGGGGGGACCCCGAGUGCCGUGGCAACGCCACGGCUUUUCCGGAGUGUAAAAAGCUCCGGGAAUAAGGGCUGGGCAAGGCCGGUGGCAGCCGCCGCGGUAAUACCGGCGGCCCGAGUGGUGGCCGCUAUUAUUGGGCCUAAAGCGUCCGUAGCCGGGCCCGUAAGUCCCUGGCGAAAUCCCACGGCUCAACCGUGAGGCUUGCUGGGGAUACUGCGGGUCUUGGGACCGGGAGAGGCGGGGGGUACCCCUGGGGUAGGGGUGAAAUCCUAUAAUCCCAGGGGGACCGCCAGUGGCGAAGGC